UCGCGCAAGGCCUCCAACCCCCAAAAAGCCUCGGGCGCGAGGUGCGUGAGCUGGUUGCCCCUGAGCGAGAGUAGGCCAAGGCGCGGCAGGUGCUGGAAGACGCGCGGCCCGAGGUGCUGCAGGCUGUUGGCCGAGAGGAUGAGGGUGGAGAGAGAGCGCAGCGGUGCGAAGGUGGCCGCGUGGCGUAGGGAGGGCUGCAGCUCGUUGGCAGAGAGGUUGAGGAAGCGCAGCUUCCCCAGAUGGGCGAAGGCGUUCUUGCCCAGAAAACGGAUCCGGUUGGACUCCAGAUGUAGGUAGAGCAAGUUACCCAAGGGGGCAAAGACGGCGUCCGGCAGCGCCCCCAGGGCGUUCCCGUCCAGCCGCAGCUUGACCAGGCUCUCCAGUCCCUCGAAGGAGCCUCGGCUGAGGCGGCUGAUCUCGUUCCCGUUGGCGUAGAGGAUGCGCAGCUUGCGCAGCGGCGCCAGCGUGCCCGGGGCGAGCGCCUGCAGGAGGUUGUUGCCCAGGUAGAGCUCCUCCAGCCGCGAGAGCUUCUCGAAGGUCUUGGGGUGCAGAGAACGGAUCUGGUUGUACUGCAGGUCCAGCCGUCUGAGCUGCCCCAGGCGGUGGAAGUCGAAGGCCGUGAUGUUGGUUAUGAAGUUGCCGCCGAGGCUGUAGAUUAUCCUGCAAGGACUCAAUACUUCUAACUACUAUGCUAAAUUGCUUCUUGAAGGUCUUGGUGUCAUCACACAGAAGAGUGCAUUAAAAAAAAAAAUGGAGCCUUAAAAUAAAAACAUAUUAACACUAAGGUACCAUGUAUUCUUCCGUACCCUGAUGUUUUUCACUUAAGUAAUUUUGGAGGUUUUCCCAGAACAGUACAUGUAGAUCAAGCUCAUUUUCAAUGCUGCAUGGUAUUCCAGGAUGGAGAUCUGGGGAGACAGAGUGGUAAGAAGAAUGGAAAAGAUCUUUCCUGAUUGAUAUUAUUGUGGUCAGUCUUCUCCAGACUCGGCAGAUAUUUUAAGGUAACUCUCUUAUGUGGGGAUCCUUCAGAAACCCACCGAUGAAAGAAGACACUUUCGUUAAAAUAGACUUCCGGAUUUCCGUCAGUGACAGGCUUCUGGAGGGGCAGAGCCAAGUGGCAGCCCUUAACAGCCAGCAGCAAGGUGGGUGCAGUUACUAUAAUGGGCAGAGUGUCUGCAGCAGCAGAGUAUUUCAGCACACGA
Long non-coding RNA from Globicephala melas (long-finned pilot whale), 1199 nucleotides. RefSeq lists it as uncharacterized. The record is from RefSeq and is a predicted model, not a curated record. Lineage: Eukaryota; Metazoa; Chordata; Mammalia; Artiodactyla; Delphinidae.